ACGCAGGGGAAGGGCGGCGGAACCCACAGCUCGAGCUCAGGUGAUUCUGACGCAGGCGCUCCACGGAAACCCUCCGAGAAUUCUGGGGGCCGUGGGGCCGCCCAGCUCAGUCCGGAGCUCCGGAACUCGGGGAAGAGCGUCCGGGAGCCGGGUCUGGGUUCCGCACUCCGUCCGCCCCGAUGGCAGAGAGUGAGAUACGGACGCCCCGGGACGAGGGGCUCAGGACCCGGCUACGGACACCUGCCUCCAUCUCCCUCCAGAUAACACAAGUGUGAAGAGAGGGGAGAGCAGCAAAGGCUGAGCUGCGUGUGCCUGGUCCCUUCCAGACUUUCCAGAUAACUUUGCCCCACGGAGGACAAGGAAAGCCAAAAGAGAGAAGCCAGGAUUGUUAGUCUUGGAAAAUGCCUCCAUAUAGAAACAUGAGCCGGAGAAUAAAUCACUUGCCUCUCUAACCAGUUGGAUUUGGUCCGUGAGUUCCUAGUUUUGUUCACCUGACUUAGUCCCUGACUUUUAAAGUCAAGUGCAUCAACAUGCUGCCAGUACUUUGAUGAACAUCUAUACAGGAUCCAUCUCUACAGCAGUGAAUUCCACCUGGGGUAAAGUAUGCAUGUAGGUUAGGAUGCUACAGUGGGACUCUGUCUGCUUUUUCUGUCUGUUUCUGCUAAGGCCUCCACACAUUAGAUGGUCAGUACUCUUUGUUCUAUGGGAAGGGCUAGAAUACCUAAACAGGACUUUCACGGAGGGAGCAACAAACCAGUUUUGUGGCUCUCAGCAAACAUCCAUCUCAAAGGUGAGUUUGGAAAUAAUGGAGAGUAUGUCAGUGUGUUUGUGUCUCAGGCCUACUUCCCACGCCUAUGGGGGAAGGGUGGGACUUAUCUCUCUCUUCCCUCAAGCCUGCUAAGAGGAGAUUAGACUAUAUUUGAGAUAAAUACCUCCAGCACAGUGACAGCCAUGCAGCUCAUGCCUGUGAAAUCAAAAGGCAAGAGGAUGCGGCUGGCUGGCUGCUCUGAGGGCAGAGAGAAAAGACCAGACAGCUCUUGGAACAGACUGUUCUUCCAGUGACGAUGGGGACAAAGAUGCAUGAGUGUAUCUCCAGGACUGGAUGUGAGCUGCAUGGGAGAAAAAGAGUGCAGGCCUGCAGCCCGGGAAAACCCAAAAGGAUGCCAUAAACCCAACAGGAAGAUGGGUUGUCAGGGCCCCAGGAGCUGAGAAAGGAAUAAAAAUGACAGAGAGAGAAAAGUACAUUGUCCACAUCAUAAAUAACACAGCUGAAUGUGCCCAAUGAGGUCCUCAGAGAACCCACAGAAGUGCCCAUGGGAACAGUUCUCUCUGGGACUCAAACCCAGGGAGAGGUGCUUUUAAACAUGCAAAGAGAGGGAACCAUCAUCAUAUUACAUUGCAGUGUCCACAUGAAUAAGACCCUAACUUACCUCAUAUUUCUCCUCCUUCCUCUGCUUUAAUCCAGGAGGAGCCAGAGACCUCUCAGUAAGUGAAGAAGAGGGGAAAUAGGUAAAAAGCCACUAUUCCCCAUGUUAGAUGAGGAAAUAGGAACAUUCUCCUCCUCUACCCAACACCCACUGUAGCUUUUAGUGGCUGGAGUCAGGAGAGAAAAGUUUUCAUGUUAAAUGAAUUUCAGAGGUUUGACUAUGACAUAGAAAUGGAUAUUUUAAUUACUGAAAUAAAACUGUUUUGUAAUUAGAGGUGACUGGAAGACAUUUUAUCCUCAGCAGAAGAAUAGAUAAGGAUAGGACCUUCCCUCCCCCUUGGACCCCACCAAGGUUUUAUCCAGAGGCAGAGGAAGAAGUAACCCUUUAUGUGAGUUUGAAUGGGCAGAAGAAGAAAAGGAUGAAGUUGUCUUCUAAUUGCACUCUAUGAAUGUUGCUUUUUUGUUAACAUAAAUGUCACAUAUAUUUUUAGCUGGUGUAACAAAAAAAAAAACAUCUCAAGCCGGCUUGCAUAAUAACAGCUUUGGGCACAGUCUGAUCAAGGCCCCGGUUCUGUUUGCUAGUGAUCCUCCUGAUUCUGCCCUCUCUCCAUGCUAGUUUCUUCCUCAGAUUGACAUUCCUCUUGGUCACCAGAUGCCUACAAUCAGCGGGUGCAACUCUCUGCUCCCUGCUCACUUCUGAAGGGGAGAGCAUGGAUACCAACCACAGAACAAAGCCCUGCAGUCUCCCGCUGAGUAGAACACCCACGAAGAAGUGUUGGCCAUUUCCCUAUUGCCAGGGAAAUAUCAUGUAUUGGUUGGAUUAGGCCUGUAUUAAUCCAGUUAAUGGAACAUAGUUAAACUAUCCCAGACCCUCCAUAGACACUAGAGAAAAGGUGAAUCCAACCCAAAUGUAAGACUGCUACUCAAUAGGACAGAAAAGGCAUGGAUGUCAGUGAAAUGGGAAAAAAAAUGUGUGCCAAAGGAGAUCAGGAAGGACUGAAUAGAAGACAUGGCCUUUGAAUUGAAGCCUUUAAUGAGGAAAGGGGAUUGACAUUGUAUGAGGGCCAGGGUGGAGAGCGGGUUGUGAAGAGGAUAGGGAAAAUGCAAGGACACUGCGGAUAUAAGAAUUAAUGGGAGAAUCAUGGGCCACAAAGCAGCAGGAUUAUAUUACAGAGAUUGUAAGUAGUGUUUAUUGAAGCACAGGGUACUGGGGAGGUGGAGGAAAGAUGAAACUGUUAAGGAAUUUAGACACAGCAUGUAGUGGUUGGCAGGAAACAGAUGACACUCUCAAACAGGGUAGUUGAGGAGAGCUAAUAAAGGGACCAUUUACCAAGGUGUAGUUAGGAUUAAGAGAAAGCAAACUGGGAUGGUGCUGUGCUAUGGGCUAGCAACAGCAGGAAGUCAUUUCUGUCCCUAGGUCUGAAGAGGGAAGCAGGGGAGCCAACACCAAGGAACCAGAGAUCUUAGAGUCUGAAAGUCUGCAUGAUAGAAGCCAUGGCCUUUAGUAGAGGGAUCUUGCCUACUCUUAGCAGCCUGGCUUGGAGGGGCCUGGGGAAAUAAUACCCCAACCUCUCUCCUCUUCUUCAAUAUUGAUGACUUCCAUUGGUUAAUAUCAAACUGGAAGUUGGAGAGAAAGGGAGUCUAUCUAUACAAGUCAGCACCCUGUAGCCCAGAAGAGAGUAAAAAGGGGGUAAAAAGCAAUUUCCGAGGGACAAACAGAAAACACCCAGCACAGAAGGAGGAACAAACAUUUGGAGGAACAAACAGAAAAUAUCAGAAAACAUUUUAAUCCUGGGUCCUGGGACGUCAUGGAAGGUUUUGAAGUUAGGAGCACCGCCAUCCUCUAGGGGGAGCUCAAGCAUUUCUCUCCACUCAUCCCAAAGGCGGUGCAUCAAAAGAUCAGGGUGAAACUGACUUCAAGGAAAGAGCCCUCGGCUAGAGGAAGAAGCCUGGAGAAGUAAAGGGAUUGCUCCUGGAAUUGGAAAUCUACCCUUUGCACUUCUAUUUACUGCAUUUGGAUUGAUUUGCAAGAAUAACCAUUAAAAUAAUCAAAGCUAAAAGUAAGUAUGUACUGUGUGCCAAGUUCUUGACUCAUUUGGCACAACUCUUCGGAGGUAAGCACCAUUGAAAUUCUCACCUUCUAGAUUAAGAGGCUGAUAGAACCUGGAUUUGAGCCCAUUGACAAAGGACCACUCUCUGCUCUGUUCUGUUCUCAUGCUGCUGGUUUAGUCAGCUGAGUCAAAGGUUGCCUUUGCUUAGAAGGCCUAACAAAACCAGAGCAGGGUCCAUGGAAAAGGAGACAUGAAAAGGGACAUAUUUCCUGGUAAGAUUUGUAUUCAUUUAACAAUUUUAAGCACAUAUUUAAUAACCAGGCACUCACUACCUGACAAGCUCUGAGCCAGGUGCAGGGUAUCCGAGGGAACUAGGAGAGAGGCACUAAGUGCUGUACUAAGAACCUGAAUGAGUGCAUUUGAGUCCUGGGUCUGCUACAUGUGUGACCUAGGAAAAGUCACUUAAAUCAUUUAACUGUCUCCUCAUCUUUAACAUAUAGAUGGUUAAAAAGUACACAGCACUUGGAAUAAUAAACGGGCAGAUUGUUAAUGUUGAAGGUGUGAGCUGCUGUUCUUACAACACAAUGUCAGCCCUUGAAGCUCUUACAGUAGAUGGAAAGAUGGAGAUGAGUAGGAUCUAAUUAUUGGCCAAGUGCAAAGGAGCUAAAAAGGCCACCCACGCUGCUACUUACUUCAGCAAUACCCAAGGAAACAAGGGCAAAAAAAGAGCUCUAGAGGCUCUUCUUGGUCUAGCCCUGCUUUUGAGUUUGGGGCCAAAGCUCUAAUUCACUCUAAUUCAGGGGUGUUAGCAAGGUUCUUGUCUGGCAUUCUAGCUCUGAACAGUUGAUACCAGCUUCCUGAACCAUGUGUUAAGAGAGAUCUCAGACUGCAUGUAGAGAACGUAUGCCUUGAGAGAUAAGUGAUGUCUGCCAUUGAUUGAGGGUGGAGAGGAGGAGCCAAGUGGUUCUAGAACAGUGUCCUUUUGCCUAGAAUGUCCCUACAGCAGGAGCAGCUGGGCAAGACUCAGAAGUCCUGAUUAUAAUCACAGAUUAAGGUGACCAACUAUCCCAGUUUGCCUAGGACUGUUCCAGUUUUAGAACUGAAAUUCCUGCAACCCAGAAAACCUCUCAAUCUUGGGCACAUCCCAAUCAGCUUUGCAGGCUUUCUCUAUCUGACAAUACCAAAAAAAAACAACAACUAUGAGCUCUGACUAGAAGAGAUUACUCUUUUUGUCUUGGCCAAUUUCAGCCUGUGAAAAUGCAUCUUAUUCUGGCCUGUAUGUGCCAGCCAUAUGCCCUCAAAUGUUCCCCCACUUCACAAUAGCUGACCUCCAUACCUCUCUCCUUUCUCAGCUAUUUUUCCUGCUGUAUCCACUGACGCCUUAGUAGGAAACAGAUGGCACCAUCAAAGGGUUUAGCUGAAGAGAAUUUCAUACAGGGAUUAUUUACAGAGGCGUGGGCAGGGUUAAUGGAACCAACAAGAGCUGGGGAGACAGUCAGGGAUUAGCUCUUACCACAGGAGGUCUGCAGGGACAAAGGGAGGGGAUGCUGUUACCAGCCUGGUAAGAGCUGAAACUGUGCAGGAGAGGUCACUGGGCCUGGGAGCUGGAGCCUCUGUCUCAUCUGCGGUGUGGCAGAGAGGAAAGAGGAGGAGGGCAUAAAAAUCCCUGGCCCGGCUCUCCUCCUGCCCUCUGGCCUCUUGCCAGUAGUUUCUUGCCAGAGUGCAAGGAAAAGCAAAUGAAACAACAGGUCUAGUAGAGGGCAGCCUCCCAGGCCGCAGAGCGUGACAGGAAAAGGCAGAGAACAGAUCUAAGAAUAACCAUCCCAGGCCACCCUAUUGUCACUCAGCUUCCAUUCUAACACUUUACUUAGCCAAAGAAACUCAGGUCCUCAACACAGGGAAAACAUAGUCUCAUCAGCUACUGUAUCACUGAGUGAUGAUGUAUUUCAGUCAUAUUACUUCCUGGACCCUAAACUGUAACUUUAGUCACCACCAGGAUGCAAGGCAGCAAAGAAAGGUAAAAAAAUAAAUAACUAUCAUACUACAGCUCCACAUCUAAGCAUUUCUAAUCUAAUAAUCCUGACUUCCUCCUCCCAGCACUCGUUCCAUAAUUCUUUACCCUCACCUAGCAUCUUGACAGUUAAGGUGUCUUACUUGAUGGGGUGAGCCAAACCUUCCUUGCCACAGGAUCCGGGUGGUUCCAUCUUUGUUGAGUUGCUGCCGUUUCUCAUUGGCCAUUACUACUGGACAUGGGAGUGCAAUGAAUCCCAUGGGCUCUAGAUACAGUGUUGUUUCCAUGUGAUAGCAAAAAUCCCAAUUUCUCCUUGAUAAUCAAAAUUAAUCAUACCAGUCCAUACAAACAGCCAAUGCUCUGCCUUUGAUCAGUGUUGUGAACAACCUGAAAUGUUGAAGGGGCAUUCUCAGUGUUUCCUAGUAGAAAUAUAUCUCCCCCUUGGGCACAAGAACCUCACGCCCAUUAGAUGCAAUGUUUUAGGGACAAGAAGACAGUAUUAUUGAAGUGGGUUAUUACUCAUCCUGAGUUCCCAGAGCCAUGUAUUCAACACCAUGUAUCAACCACUGAUCUGACCACUUAUAGGACAGCACCCCAACUUCACAAGAUGUUGUCUCCCAGCAGGCUCCAUAAAUGAGCCUUCGAUAGGACAUUUCAUCAUUCCAUCAAUCUAGCUGCUUCCAGGUAAGAACAAUGAAUUCUACGAUGUGAGCGUAAUACCACAGCUGUUUCACUGUAAAUGAGUUCCUUGAUCAGUGACAAUGCUGUGUGUGACACCAUGGGGAUGAAUAAGGCAGCCUAUCAACCACAUAUGGUAGUGCUGGCGGAAGCAACAUGCACAGGAAAGGGAAGUUACUCUCCAGUAUAUGUAAUUAUUCCCAUGAAGACAAAUUCCUGCCCCUUCCAUAAUGUAGUGGUCUGAUAUUAUCAACCUGGGUGGCUGAUACUUCCAAGAAAUAGUGCCAAAUAAGGGUUCAGUGUUGCCUUCCGUUUUAGAAAUCUGGGCACUCAGCAGUGACAGUGGCAGAUCAGCUGUGAUGUGAGGAAGUCCAUGUUUAUUUAUUUCAUUGCCUCUGUUCCUAUUCCCAUGGCCACUUUGUACAUGAGACAUUUACCCAAGCACAAACAUGGCCAGUGUCUUAGCAUGCUCAACUGCUUUAACAAAACGCCGUAAACUGGGUUGUUUAUAAACAGCAGAAAUUUAUUUCUCACAAUUUUGGAGGCUGGGAAGUUCAAGAUCAAGGUUCUAGCAGACUCUGCGUCUGGUGAGAGCCUAUUUCCUGGUUCACAGAGGGCCACCUUCUGUGUCUUCAUAUGGUGGAAAGGGCUAUGCAGCUCUCUGGGAUUUCUUUUAUAAGGGCACUAAUCCCAUUCAUAAGGGCACUUAACUUCCCUGGGGACUUAACCUCCCAGUGGCCUCACUUCCUAAUACCAUUCACAUUGGUGAUUAGGUUUCCACAUAUGAGUUUUGAAGGGACACAAAUAUUUAGACCAUAGCAGCCAGGGAAGGAGGCUCACUACAACCAAGGGAUAGGUCAUCUUGGCCACCUCCUCAUUUAGCUUUCUGUGAGGUAGAUGUCCUCUGGGGGAACAUUUAUAUGCUAUUCAAAUAGCCUCAAAGACUAGCCAUUUUUAGAGGUCCAUUAUAUAACUUCCCUUUAGGUGAUCUUGGCACCAACCUUCCAGGUCCCUGAUAAUUUGACCAACCCAUUAGCCCCUGCCUGUGUAUUUCAGGAAACCUCAGCUUAUCCCUUCUUUCAUGUCAGUGGCCAACCAGAUGUACUUCCUGAAGUUCUGUCUAUGGGAAGAUUUUCCUAUGGCUUGCAGAGCCACCCCAGACAGAUAAUUCUUAAACCAGACCAGGCCACUGUCACCCUCUUUUCUCAUCAAAGGGUCAUAGGGAAUACCCGGGGAGACCAGAGGUACGGUUUGAGGGAAAGGCGGGAAGCAGUAAGAAGUCUGACUCAUCAGCUUUUGCAGAGAAGAGAAGUGCUGAGAAUAGAUCUGAGGGUGUGAGGGGAUAAAGAAUAACAGCUCACCCACGUCUGUGCAGUUCUUUACCCUAAAGUUUAAGUGAAAUGAUUCUUCAUCAAGCUUCUUCUCACUUGAUUUAAGAAAAUCCUUAGAGAUAUAACAGCAUCAAUAUUGCAAACCAAUAAGGAAACAAAGCAAUAGCUUAGCCCUUGACAUAUAUUUCUGAUAAGUAAUGUAUUUCAUGGUCUUUCCUAAAUGUACAUGAGGUAGAAGUAGAUAUAUCCAAUGUCUAUACUUAAUUGAUUUUUGCCAGAAAGUCUAUCUUGAAAUGUGAGCUUCUGAUAAAUUCCUUCUAUUUGUGCUUUUUUAGAACAAGUUCCAUUUUUAUGUUGUCUUUGUCAGUGACGGAGGAAAUCAGAUCAAUUUUUUAAAGUCAGUUUUUUAUAUAAGCAUUACUGAAACUAUUGAAAUCUGAAUAUGGUGUUUUUAAAAUAAACUGUGUUAAACUAAUUUGUAAUAUCAGAAGUCAGGAAGGGAAGCAUGAGGGGGCAUCUAGGGGCUGGUAAUGUUGUGUUUCCUCCUGUGGGUAUUGGUUACCUGAGUUAAUUUUUUUUUGUGAAAUUACAACAAGCUGUGCACUUAUGAAAGUUGUACUUUUCUAUACAUGUAUUCUUAUUCAAUAAAAAGAAAAAAAUG
Homo sapiens (human) is the source of this 8158-nucleotide long non-coding RNA. Ensembl annotates it as POC1B antisense RNA 1. Its record names the gene POC1B-AS1. The record is from Ensembl. Lineage: Eukaryota; Metazoa; Chordata; Mammalia; Primates; Hominidae.